Molecule: ribosomal RNA, 253 nt
Filed under: uncultured bacterium
Lineage: Bacteria
Description: partial 16S ribosomal RNA
Rfam family: Bacterial small subunit ribosomal RNA
Source: RNAcentral
UACGAAGGGUGCUAGCGUUGCUCGGAAUCACUGGGCGUAAAGCGCACGUAGGCGGCUUUCUAAGUCAGGGGUGAAAUCCUGGAGCUCAACUCCAGAACUGCCUUUGAUACUGGAGAGCUUGAGUCCGGGAGAGGUGAGUGGAACUCCGAGUGUAGAGGUGAAAUUCGUAGAUAUUCAGAAGAACACCAGUGGCGAAGGCGGCUCACUGGCCCGGUACUGACGCUGAUGUGCGAAAGCGUGGGGAGCAAACAGG